Chrysemys picta bellii (western painted turtle) is the source of this 637-nucleotide non-coding RNA. The record is from RefSeq and is a predicted model, not a curated record. NCBI's taxonomy places the organism in Eukaryota, Metazoa, Chordata, Testudines, Emydidae.
CAGGCCCAACCAUUUCAGGAAAGUAUCGGUAGCAUUUGCAUCCUGGCUGUAAAGGAACAUCUGUUGAUGAUGAGGGGCCAAAAUGCUGCGGUGAAACAAUCUACAAGAUGGAAGGAAAAGCAUGUCAACAGAUAGAUUGCAAGAAUGUAGAGGCCUCUGAGAAGCUGAAAAAUGCAGAGGUAUGCAGAAAAGAAAAACUCUGUUUCUGGGUGGGGAUUCAAACUUGCAUCUCCUCUAUCCCAGUUCUCUGCUGAUACCCUCAGAUGAUUCCUUCCAACCCUUUUCUAUUCACUUGCUGCCUAGUUCCCACUCCUACCCCCAUUGUAUUUGCCCUUUCCUAUAUUAAAUUUUGUCCCAUUAGCUAGCCAUCCACCUUACCAUUUCUUUGUUGAAUUGUCCCCUACCUACACACACUUUUCUACAGUGGGAGAAAGGAUGGAUGCAAACUCCCAUCCCUACAACAUGGCACAGAGAAGACCAGAAUCUUAAUUGCCCUGCACCUUACACAGUCAUUUAAACAUGAGGAAAGUGUGUAUAAAAUGCUAUGUAAACCCUUUGGGGUUUAGAGAGCAUGUCCCUUUAAAUCUUUUUCCUAAGCGGGAGGGGGAGAGUAAGAAAAAAGGAGGGAAACUCCAGG